RNAcentral lists this ribosomal RNA (365 nucleotides) under uncultured bacterium. Its description in RNAcentral is "bacterial SSU rRNA". It matches the Rfam family "Bacterial small subunit ribosomal RNA", at positions 29 to 423 of the family's 1533-position model. The record is from RNAcentral.
AACGAACGCUGGCGGCAGGCCUAACACAUGCAAGUCGAACGCUCCGCAAGGGGAGUGGCGCACGGGUGAGUAACACGUGGGAACCUACCUUCUGGUACGGAACAACCAAGGGAAACUCUGGCUGAUACCGUAUACGACCUCCGGGUGAAAGAUUGAUCGCCGGAAGAGGGGCCCGCGUCCGAUUAGGUAGUUGGUGAGGUAACGGCUCACCAAGCCUGCGAUCGGUAGCUGGUCUGAGAGGAUGACCAGCCACACUGGGACUGAGACACGGCCCAGACUCCUACGGGAGGCAGCAGUGGGGAAUAUUGGACAAUGGGCGCAAGCCUGAUCCAGCCAUGCCGCGUGAGUGAUGAAGGCCUUCGGUU